GGGACAUGUCCCUCACCACCCCUUUGACAAAAGAGAUCAAAUCUGGGGACUGGGACAAGUGCAGAGAAAAGCCAGUCAUGUGCAUAGGGUGUACUAGUCGGGCAGGGGAUGUACAGAUAGUAAGAGAACAGACAUCCUGAGUGGCCUGACCAUGUAUAAUUUAUUGUGAAAAAUCACCAGUGAUCAUCUGGGCCUUCAGAGUUUUUUGCUGGUGAAGGUUUGAACUAUCCUGAGAAUUACUGCAGUGUGGCACAAAGACAGUGAGUGUGCAAGGGCUUUUGAAAAUGGCAUUGAUAGACUUGCCUGACACGGGGCUGUCACAAAGCUUCAAUGUGUAAAAAUGCAAUUAUCUGGGAAAUGGGAUAAAACAAAGUAUGCCACUACUUCCUCACAAUGUGGCAAUUCCCAGUAUGCUCUCCAGAUUCACUGGGUCCUUCCCCUGCACCAGCCAUUCAUACAGCUCUUUCCUGUUUGUGGUUCUGGCCACCGAUUUUCCCUUAAGAGUGCAAAGCAGUAGUCACUCAGUCGUGCCAACUCUUUGCCACCCCAUGAACCACAGCCCACCAGGCUCCUCUGUCCAUGGGAUUCUCCAGGCAGAAUACUGGAGUGGAUUGCCAUUUCCUUCUCCAGGGAACCUUCCCCACCCAGGGAUCAAACCUGGGUCUCCCACAUUGGAGGCAGAUUCUUUACUGUCUGAGCCACAAGGGAAGCCCUGACAGUGCAAAGCUACCACUUACAAGUUUGAGGGAAAGUUCUAGGCUUUUAAGAAACUGUUAAAUAAGUGGUUAUUGUUUUUCUUGAGAUGAAUAUUUUUGGGAAUGAAUGUCCUUGUUACAAGAGCUCAAGGAGGACCUUUCCUGGAAAGAACUGACACCAAUAACUUGAAAAAGCCUGCUUCCUAAGCUUUUGUAUUUUAGAGAGGAAAAUACUCCCAGCUUCAGGUAGGACAUGUCUUGGCCUAAGGAAGCUGCAUGGAGAGAAAGGUCAGGAUGUGUUUCUCGCUUCCAGGCUGCUUAUCUGGCCAAGGUUGCACGUUCAUCAUUUGCUUUACCUACUUUAACACCCUUGAGCCUUGACCAUGGCAUUCUGGCUAGGAAAAUACAAGGGAAAUCAGCGGAAAUAGCUCCUGUUUGAAGGUGCAUUAACU
This 1147-nucleotide long non-coding RNA is filed under the name Bos indicus x Bos taurus (hybrid cattle). RNAcentral's name for it is "lncRNA (ENSBIXG00000021882.1)". The record is from RNAcentral. Lineage: Eukaryota; Metazoa; Chordata; Mammalia; Artiodactyla; Bovidae.